GACGAACCGUGCGAACGUUGUUCGGAAUAACUGGGCUUAAAGGGUGCGUAGGCGGGUCCGCCAGUCUGUGGUGAAAUCCUCCCGCUCAACGGGAGAACUGCCGUGGAUACUGCGGACCUCGAGGAAGAUAGGGGCGUGCGGAACAGUUGGUGGAGCGGUGAAAUGCGUUGAUAUCAACUGGAACUCCGGUGGCGAAGGCGGCACGCUGGGUCUUUUCUGACGCUGAGGUACGAAAGCUAGGGGAGCGAAUGGG
This 253-nucleotide ribosomal RNA is filed under the name uncultured bacterium. RNAcentral describes it as "partial 16S ribosomal RNA". It matches the Rfam family "Bacterial small subunit ribosomal RNA", at positions 524 to 776 of the family's 1533-position model. The record is from RNAcentral.